AUUGAACGCUGGCGGCAUGCCUUACACAUGCAAGUCGAACGGCAGCACGGGGCAACCUGGUGGCGAGUGGCGAACGGGUGAGUAAUGCAUCGGAACGUGCCAUUGAGUGGGGGAUAACGUAGCGAAAGUUGCGCUAAUACCGCAUAUUCUGUGAGCAGGAAAGCAGGGGGACCGCAAGGCCUUGCGCUCUUUGAGCGGCCGAUGUCGGAUUAGCUAGUUGGUGGGGUAAAGGCCUACCAAGGCGACGAUCCGUAGCGGGUCUGAGAGGAUGAUCCGCCACACUGGGACUGAGACACGGCCCAGACUCCUACGGGAGGCAGCAGUGGGGAAUUUUGGACAAUGGGCGCAAGCCUGAUCCAGCCAUGCCGCGUGAGUGAAGAAGGCCUCGGUUGUAAG
This 396-nucleotide ribosomal RNA is filed under the name uncultured bacterium. RNAcentral describes it as "bacterial SSU rRNA". It matches the Rfam family "Bacterial small subunit ribosomal RNA", at positions 29 to 429 of the family's 1533-position model. The record is from RNAcentral.